RNAcentral lists this ribosomal RNA (451 nucleotides) under uncultured Fibrobacter sp. Its description in RNAcentral is "partial 16S ribosomal RNA". It matches the Rfam family "Bacterial small subunit ribosomal RNA", at positions 341 to 792 of the family's 1533-position model. The record is from RNAcentral. Lineage: Bacteria; Pseudomonadati; Fibrobacterota; Fibrobacteria; Fibrobacterales; Fibrobacteraceae.
ACGGAAGGCAGCAGUGGGGAAUAUUGCACAAUGGGGGAAACCCUGAUGCAGCAACGCCACGUGUGGGAAGAAGCAUUUCGGGGUGUAAACCACUGUCGUGAGGGAAUAAUGCUUGGCCUCGGCCAAGUUGAAUGUACCUCGAAAGGAAGCACCGGCAAACUUCGUGCCAGCAGCCGCGGUAAUACGAGGGGUGCAAGCGUUGUUCGGAAUCACUGGGCGUAAAGGGAGCGCAGGCGGCGAUGCAAGCAGUCUGUUCAAUACCGGGGCCCAACCCCGGACCUGCAGACUGGACUGUUUCUCUUGGAUAGUUCAGGGGCAAGCGGAAUUCCUGGUGUAGCGGUGGAAUGCGUAGAGAUCAGGAAGAACCCCGAUGGCGAAGGCAGCUUGCUGGUGACUUAUCGACGCUCAUGCUCGAAAGUGCGGGUAGCAAACAGGAUUAGAUCCCCUGGUA